Long non-coding RNA from Felis catus (domestic cat), 1848 nucleotides. RefSeq lists it as uncharacterized. The transcript has 4 exons. The record is from RefSeq and is a predicted model, not a curated record. NCBI's taxonomy places the organism in Eukaryota, Metazoa, Chordata, Mammalia, Carnivora, Felidae.
AAUAAUCGUUAACUUGUGUGUGUAAGAAGCAAAGGGUUUGGGGGGGCAGGUGGAGUUUGUGAUCAAGGUACCUUGGCACCAGAUGGAAAGUAACUUCCUGCAGGUGAUCUAACAAGUUACUGGUGAUCCCAUUACAAUAUCUCACUAGCUCACCUCAGGCAAAAACGCCCAGUGGUGGCAGUUUUCGGCCCUAAGCAUUUUCCUGACCCAUUUAUGUAAGUGGAAACUAUUUCCCCACAUACUCUUUCAGUCCCGGAUGGGUUUUUCUUUCAGUGUUUAUUAUCUUAUUUAAUCCCCACAGUCAUCCUUUAAGAGUGCUAUUAUCUCCACCUUGUACAUGAAGAAACUGAGGUUUGGCAGGAUUAUACAACUCCUACAAGGCCUGUCCAUAGCCAGUGAGAAGCCUCGUAGGGGCUUGCUCGUCGGGUCUGGGUGACUCUUUCCUGGGUACCGCGCUGUGUUUCAUAGUCCUGGGAAUGUGCAAGGGAUGCUCACAGAAGGCCCUGGCUUCCUUUUCUGCUCUAUGUUACCGUACCUAGAUGCGUGGGCAUCUUGUAAGAAAACAGAAUAAAUUCAAGAGUCUUCCUCGUGAGUUUUCUGUGGUUCAGAUCAUCACCAUCCCUAGACGAAAUGGAGUGUAAAUACUGAGGUGAAUGGCACCCCAUUCACUUCGAAAGCUUGGAGGUGAUGGGGCCCCUCCCAGACUGGGCAAACCUCAGAAAGUAGCAGGUGCUGAGGCCGUCUUGGGCCCAAAGAAACUUCCGCUGGAGGAGUGAGUCCCGUGCAUGUGGGGUGACUUCCUUCGGGGGACACAUUCGCAAAGGGUCUUUAACCCAGGUAGUGCGCUCACGGAUGCCUCGAACCUGCCUGGUCCCCGCAUUUGGAAGGUGGGGGGGGGGGGGGCUCCUCCCUACACCGUUGAGGGCCAUGGCGAGAGAGAAGGUUGGCGAACGAAAGUAGGUGGGCACACGGGUCGCCCUCGACCCCGAAAGCCUUCUGCUGGGAGUGGGCCACCCGGGAACCCACCGUUUGGAAGGUGAGCCGGGCGCCGCCAGCUGCGCAGGGUCCGCGGCCCGCCCCUCCCUAGGGGCGCGUGCGCGCGCGCGUGUCGCCGUGGUAACGGCGCGGCGGAAAGGCGCGGAAUCCCGGGCGCGCGCUGCCCCGGCUGCUGCUGCGGAAGCUGCUGCGGGCGUCGGGCGGGGGUCCCGGGGCGGGCGUCCCCGUGGGACCGCUGCUGCCCACCCCGCGGACCCGGCUGCGUGGGGCGGGGCGCCGGAGCGGCGGCCGGGCUCGCGUGCGCGGCUGGAGGUUCCUGAGGCCGAAUCUGGUUCCUAGGAAACAUCAAAGGGAGCCUGCACCAGAGGCCUCUCAGGAUGUGCCCGGAAGCCUGCGUCCAUCCACUGUGUGGGACGGAAUGACACCCCCCACGAGUGUGCUGUCUCCGUUGCUGUUUCUGGUGACCGUCGCAGGUAGGAAGCCAGGUAAACCUUUAAUACCUGAAUUUUGGGUGAGGAGCACGGCGCCACAAAUAGUGUAAAAGCCAUACACAGCUGGGAAAGAAUGCUUAGUAAUUUCACGUAGUGAAAUGACACGAGGAGGGCCUGGAAGGUGGGGCCCGCGGCCAGUGUGCUGACGGGAGGAAGCACGCCAACGCUGUCCUUCACCCGACGUGGAAACUACUAGAAUCCUGCGGGGGACCACACGGGCGCUUGCUGUCGCCGGGCCGCCUGUGACCUGGCCUGGUGGGGGGGGGGGGGGGAGGUGCCGCUGCUACCUGGUGAGCUGCCCACCCUCGCUCUGAGAGCUGUGAGCCCCGCAGGGCGGGCCCCGUCGGGUCCCCACUCACCU